Molecule: ribosomal RNA, 497 nt
Filed under: uncultured bacterium
Lineage: Bacteria
Description: bacterial SSU rRNA
Rfam family: Bacterial small subunit ribosomal RNA
Source: RNAcentral
AUGAACGCUGGCGGCGUGCCUAACACAUGCAAGUCGAACGGGACUAUCAAGUGAUGUUUCGGACUGAACUUUUAGUUAGUGGCGGACGGGUGAGUAACGCGUGGACAACCUGCCUCUCACUGGGGGAUAGCAGCUGGAAACGGCUGGUAAUACCGCAUGCGUUCAAUGUGCCGCAUGACACAUUGAAGAAAGAUUUAUCGGUGAGAGAUGGGUCCGCGUCUGAUUAGCCAGUUGGCGGGUAACGGCCCACCAAAGCGACGAUCAGUAGCCGGCCUGAGAGGGCGGACGGCCACAUUGGGACUGAGACACGGCCCAGACUCCUACGGGAGGCAGCAGUGGGGGAUAUUGCACAAUGGGCGCAAGCCUGAUGCAGCGACGCCGCGUGAAGUGAAGAAGUAUUUCGGUAUGUAAAGCUCUAUCAGCAGGGAAGAAAGGCCCGCAAGGGAGAUGACGGUACCUGACUAAGAAGCCCCGGCUAACUACGUGCCAGCAGCUGC